AUACUUACCUGGCAGGGGAGACACCUUGAUCAUGAAGGAGGUUUUCCCAGGGUGAGGCUCAGCCAUUGCACUCUGGCUGUGCUGACCCCUGCGAUUUCCCCAAAUGCGGGAAACUCGACUGCAUAAUUUGUGGUAGUGGGGGACUGCGUUCGCGCUUUCCCCUG
This 164-nucleotide small nuclear RNA is filed under the name Salvator merianae (Argentine black and white tegu). Its description in RNAcentral is "U1 spliceosomal RNA (ENSSMRG00000017076.1)". It matches the Rfam family "U1 spliceosomal RNA". From Rfam's summary of the family: U1 is a small nuclear RNA (snRNA) component of the spliceosome (involved in pre-mRNA splicing). Its 5' end forms complementary base pairs with the 5' splice junction, thus defining the 5' donor site of an intron. There are significant differences in sequence and secondary structure between metazoan and yeast U1 snRNAs, the latter being much longer (568 nucleotides as compared to 164 nucleotides in human). Lineage: Eukaryota; Metazoa; Chordata; Lepidosauria; Squamata; Teiidae. The record is from RNAcentral.